Molecule: ribosomal RNA, 484 nt
Filed under: uncultured bacterium
Lineage: Bacteria
Description: partial 16S ribosomal RNA
Rfam family: Bacterial small subunit ribosomal RNA
Source: RNAcentral
AUUGAACGCUGGCGGCAGGCCUAACACAUGCAAGUCGAGCGGAUGAAGGGAGCUUGCUCCUGGAUUCAGCGGCGGACGGGUGGGUAAUGCCUAGGAAUCUGCCUGGUAGUGGGGGAUAACGUCCGGAAACGGGCGCUAAUACCGCAUACGUCCUGAGGGAGAAAGUGGGGGAUCUUCGGACCUCACGCUAUCAGAUGAGCCUAGGUCGGAUUAGCUAGUUGGUGGGGUAAAGGCCUACCAAGGCGACGAUCCGUAACUGGUCUGAGAGGAUGAUCAGUCACACUGGAACUGAGACACGGUCCAGACUCCUACGGGAGGCAGCAGUGGGGAAUAUUGGACAAUGGGCGAAAGCCUGAUCCAGCCAUGCCGCGUGUGUGAAGAAGGUCUUCGGAUUGUAAAGCACUUUAAGUUGGGAGGAAGGGCAGUAAGUUAAUACCUUGCUGUUUUGACGUUACCAACAGAAUAAGCACCGGCCAACUUCGUG